GUCAACUCUGUAAAGCCACUAGGUUCAUAAAUUUCGAGAGCAGAAGAUGGAUCUCUUUUAGACUUCCCGGAAAUUGAAGCGCCACUAGGUUCAUAAAUUUUGAGAGCAGAAGAUGGAUCUCUUUGAGACUUCUUGGAAAUUGAAGAGCCACUAGGUUCAUUAAUUUCGAGAGCAGAAGAUGGAUCUCUUUGAGACUUCCCGGAAAUUGAAGAGCCACUAGGUUCAUCCAUUUUGAGACCAAAAGAUGGAUCUCUUUGAGACUUCUCGGAAAAUGAAGAGCCACUAGGUUCAUAAAUUUCGAGAGCAGAAGACGGAUCUCUUUGAGACUUCGCGGAAAUUGAAGAGCCACUAGGUUCAUCAAUUUCGAGAGCAGAAGAUGGAUCUCUCUGAGACUUCCCAGAAAUUGAAGAGCCACUAGGUUCAUCAAUUUCAAGAGCAGAAGAUGAAUCUCUUUGAAACUUCCUGGAAAUUGAAGAGCCACUAGGUUCAUAAAUUUCGAGAGCAGAAGAUGAAUCUCUUUGAGACUUCCCGGAAAUUGAAGAGCCACUAGGUUCAUAAAUUUCGAAAGCAGAAUAUGGAUCUCUUGUAACCACUUUCGCCACACUGAACAAAACGCAAGUAGUUCAAAGAUCAGUUCUUAAAAUAAAUAAAGCCUAUU
This 658-nucleotide long non-coding RNA is filed under the name Citrus sinensis (sweet orange). RNAcentral's name for it is "long non-coding RNA (CSIN_LNC004017)". The record is from RNAcentral. Lineage: Eukaryota; Viridiplantae; Streptophyta; Magnoliopsida; Sapindales; Rutaceae.